GCACAGGAAUCAGCUGGAGAACUCUUUCAACGCCAUUUGUGAGCAGCUGGAUAGAAGCAAAACAGAGAUCCUGGGAGCCAUCAGUGACAUUGAGAAGCAACAGCUUUCUCAGAUUGAGCCGUGGAUAAAAGAACACAAAGAGAUGAAGGAUGCUGCCAGCCGCAAUGUGCAGGAGUUGGAGGCUUUGAGGGAUCAGAAGGAUCCAGUGCUCUUUCUUAAGAGUUGGUCAGCAAUACAAACCAGGAAGAGGGAACAAGUUCCUAAUAAAGAUGGUGCAGAACUGGCAAAGCUGCUCAGUAUUAUGGAUGGAUCAAUGAAAAAGAUCAUUCAAGAGCGUUUCCAGCCUUAUGUCGACUUAAUCUUGGAUGCAAAGCCCUCAGUGAAAUCAUCACCUACUCAUGAACAUCUGACUUUCAAAUCAUGUCAAGCACAUGGACUGCAAGUAAAUGACAAGGUGCUCAGAGUAGUCAGGCUACCUUACGCAUUUCCUGUGCAAAUCGAACUGCCGUUCUGGGUGUACAGCACCAGCAGCUUCUCAAAUGGCCAGCACUUCUGGGAGGUGAUCACCCAUGACUCAUUGUGCUGGAAAGUGGGUGUUGCUGGUAACAGUUUUCAGUGCUACCUGGAAAUGUCUCAGCAUCGUCUCAGCGUGAUCCUAGAUAAAAGACAGAUUAAAGUCCAGUUACUUAACACAGCCAUCAGAACGGUCAGGGUAGAGCUAGACUGCGAAAGAAAGACAGUGUCAUUUUUUGAUGUGUCUGUCAAGGAUCAUUCAGGCUCUUCUGGGAGCUGUGUGCUCAUAGAUACAGUAACCAUCCCUUCAAGCUCUUCUGUCUAUGCUGUCUUCAGCGUUUCUCAUGGCUCCCUUUCACUCCCAUAGUGAUGUGGGGGCAAAGCUGCCUUGCCUUUCUGCUCCCUGGUUCUCUACAUUUUGGGGCUGCAGCUGCACAGACUUUGCCACCUUGGCACAGUAUAAACUAGGCUUCAGGCUGGGCCUGCUUGCAACCUGCUUCUGAGCUGUAAUAAGGUUCUGGUCUUUUGCAGCAAUGGGCUGCGUUGAGAGAAUGAGAAAAUGGGCCAUCAAAUACAUGUACCAUCAAAUGUACCUCCUCAGGUUUUUAGUAUUUCUGUUUCAGUAUUGUACUUUUACUGAACUGUAUAGAUUGCUGUGUUGGAUGGAUAUUAUUAAAGUAAUUUUGUUCACAAAACUUGGUGGUAAUCUAGUCUAUUACAAAGUAUAUGGCACAACGUUAAUGCUACAGCACUCAUAAGCAGCAGUGCCAAUCUCUGCUCUAGUGUACCAGCAUUUACCUCCCUGUCCUGCACAGCACUACCUUAGGUCUGUUCCUGCCCUGGGGUACCCUUCCCAGCAGGAUGGUGAUGCUUGGAGCAGCUGAGGAGAGCGCGGCUAAGCAGAGAACUCCUGGCUUGCUGCAGCCAGGCUCAGGCACAUCGCAUCCAGGGCUCUCUUGGGCAGAGGGCUGCAGGCGAACUGCCGAUGACACGCCUCAGAUGGGGAAGUACUUCGCUUCAGUCCAGAGAGCAGGGGGGCGGGGCUGCAGGGGGGCGGGGCUGCAGGGCUGGCACUGUGCCACGGACAGCCUUUCAGUUUCGUUUCUCGCAGGCCGGUGGGUG
Molecule: long non-coding RNA, 1635 nt
Organism: Chrysolophus pictus (golden pheasant)
Lineage: Eukaryota; Metazoa; Chordata; Aves; Galliformes; Phasianidae
Source: Ensembl